This 88-nucleotide transfer RNA is filed under the name Caudoviricetes sp. RNAcentral describes it as "tRNA-Ser". It matches the Rfam family "tRNA". Rfam says of the family: Transfer RNA (tRNA) molecules are approximately 80 nucleotides in length. Their secondary structure includes four short double-helical elements and three loops (D, anti-codon, and T loops). Lineage: Duplodnaviria; Heunggongvirae; Uroviricota; Caudoviricetes. The record is from RNAcentral.
GGAAAGUUACUCAAGAGGCUGAAGAGGAUGCCCUGCUAAGGCAUUAGACCGAGUAAUCGGUGCGAGGGUUCAAAUCCCUCACUUUCCA